RNAcentral lists this long non-coding RNA (240 nucleotides) under Mytilus galloprovincialis (Mediterranean mussel). The record is from RNAcentral. Lineage: Eukaryota; Metazoa; Mollusca; Bivalvia; Mytilida; Mytilidae.
UUGGCCAUAGGACUAUUAAUUGCGAAGCUACAUGUACAUAGUACUUAUACAUAAUUCAUGAAUGCAAAACUAUUCAAAAAUCUUCUGAAUAGAACAUCUAAAUAGAAUAAAGCAUGGUUAAUUGAAUACAUAAACAACACAUUUUUGUGUUAUGGAAUUUACUAAAAAUUGUCAAAAAUCUGCCCUUCGGGUCUAAGCAGAAACGAACUUCUUUAUUACUUUGUCAAUAUUCACACAAAA